GANCGGUGCAAGCGUUACUCGGAAUUACUGGGCGUAAAGCGUGCGUAGGUGGUUUUUUAAGUCCGUUGUGAAAGCCCUGGGCUCAACCUGGGAAUGGCAGUGGAUACUGGAAAGCUAGAGUGCGGUAGAGGGUAGUGGAAUUCCCGGUGUAGCAGUGAAAUGCGUAGAGAUCGGGAGGAACACCAGUGGCGAAGGCGGCUACCUGGACCAGCACUGACACUGAGGCACGAAAGCGUGGGGAGCAAACAGGAUUAGAUACCCUGGUAGUCCACGCCCUAAACGAUGCGAACUGGACGUUGGGAGCAACUUGGCUCUCAGUGUCGAAGCUAACGCGUUAAGUUCGCCGCCUGGGGAGUACGGUCGCAAGACUG
Molecule: ribosomal RNA, 371 nt
Filed under: uncultured bacterium
Lineage: Bacteria
Description: bacterial SSU rRNA
Rfam family: Bacterial small subunit ribosomal RNA
Source: RNAcentral